GUCUACAGCCGUACCACCCUGAAUGUGCCUGAUCUUGUCAGCUAAUCAGGGUCAUUCCUGGUUAGUACUUAGAUGGGAGACUGGGACUACCACAUGCUGUUGUUG
This 105-nucleotide ribosomal RNA is filed under the name Carlito syrichta (Philippine tarsier). Lineage: Eukaryota; Metazoa; Chordata; Mammalia; Primates; Tarsiidae. The record is from RNAcentral.